UUCAUAUCCCUUCACAUGUAUUAAAGUGGGAACAAUACAGAGAAGAUUAGCAGAGCCCCUGGUGCAACGAUGGCACGCACAAUCGGGAAGUAUUCUCACUUUUC
Sander lucioperca (pikeperch) is the source of this 104-nucleotide small nuclear RNA. The record is from Ensembl. Lineage: Eukaryota; Metazoa; Chordata; Actinopteri; Perciformes; Percidae.